Nerophis ophidion (straightnose pipefish) is the source of this 1295-nucleotide long non-coding RNA. RefSeq lists it as uncharacterized. The record is from RefSeq and is a predicted model, not a curated record. The transcript has 6 exons. Lineage: Eukaryota; Metazoa; Chordata; Actinopteri; Syngnathiformes; Syngnathidae.
GACCAGCUUGCUAGAAAAAAAAAUAAAAAAUAGAGGCAGCUCACUGGUAAGUGCUGCUAUUUGAGCUAUUUUUAGAACUCGCCAGCGGGCGACUCAUCUGGUCCUUACGGGCUACCUGGUGCCCGCGGGCACCGCCUUGGUGACCCCUGACAUAGAAAGUCAGGUUAACACACACAAAAAAAAAAAUGAAUUUAUUAUCUUACCCUCAGAUUGUUGCCCCGUCGACAGGUCAGGCUGCAGUUGAAAAAAUAAGGAUUUCUGCCACCAGCUGAGCGUUACAGGCACCGGCCGCGGGCUGGCGACGAUGAUGGCGACGGCGGUAGCCAACAUGGCUAACCAAGUCAGCCAGAAGAGCAGCACCAGGUAGCAGCGCACCCUCCUCCAGCCGGGGCUCCCAGCGCUCACUUCGAGGUCCUCCUUGCUCAUAGGCCGCCACGGCGGGUCCGGUGCGAGGUCCGGGACCAGCAAAGAGGCCGUCUCCGAACCGGCCUCGCUGGCCGUGAGGACCGGGGAGGCCACGCUUCCGUAGCCGUUGUCCCCGGCGUUCAAGGGCAUGGUGGCGGGCUGCAGGUGAGGGCAACUACAGCGGGGACAUGGAGGACUGUUAGGCCGCUUUCCCACGCCGACACCCCGGCAUAACAGGUCCUUCUGCCGUCUCCUGGUAUAACUUAAUGUGUGUGUUGGCGUUUUUGACGAAAUAGUGCUGUGACCGGGACCGGUCGAGGAGUAAAAAGUAAUCUUACUUGCUGGUGAUGCCUCCCCCUGGUGGAAGUCCUGGUAUUCCCUCCUCGGCCAGGAAUUUGAUCACAUACAAGAGAGCUGCUUCCUGCUGCAGUGCUUCUUUUGACAGCUGGGGGGCGCCCGGGAAGCACACUAUGAUGAUGCUGAUGUUGUCCAAGCUGCCCUGGAGGAGCAACAGAUUGAUUAAAGUACCUGUAGCCAGGAUGUGGUCCAGCAGGUUCCUGGAGCAAUACUGGGCCACUGUGCUCCCAGCAUGGCCGUCAAACACAGCAUAAUAGGCCCACUCGCUCAGCUCCCCUGUCAUCUGAGGCAUGCACGUGUGCGCAUCUUCCAUCUGAGCCCUCCAGCCCUGCAUGUUUGCCACCGCAUAGUUCACCCCGGACCGGGACCCCCCCUCGGACACGUGCUUCUCCAAAAUGGGCCGCUCCAGCUGGCGGAGGAAGGAGGGCACCUCCACGUUGCUCGCCCGGCGCGCUGUCCUCAUCACGACUCUGAGUCGCUGCUCAAGCUUCCUGCUCGACCUGGCCGCCGCUCGUCGUCUCCUCUUGCUGGUG